This 700-nucleotide long non-coding RNA is filed under the name Salvia miltiorrhiza (redroot sage). Its description in RNAcentral is "long non-coding RNA (SMIL_LNC009751)". Lineage: Eukaryota; Viridiplantae; Streptophyta; Magnoliopsida; Lamiales; Lamiaceae. The record is from RNAcentral.
AUAUAUAUAUACAUCUUCUACUCCAUCUCUGCAAAUUUUACAAAGCAAAAACUAUACUUCGAGAUAACCAAGUUUUUCUCUCUAACUGCAGAUCAAUCAACAUGGUAUUAAUUUUCAAUCUAUGAAAUUUCUAUUUCAGUACAAUUUAUCAUUUCCUGUUUUUACAUCUCUACAACUACAAGUAUUUCUCUGAACAUUCUAUAUAUAUUCAGAAAAAUCACAAGCACACACCUAUUCACUAAUCAAACUCCCUUUCCGUAAAAUUUGACAACCACAGCAGCAAAACUUUGAUUUCAAAUCUUGAUUUUUUCCUUCCACAGCAGGAUUUCUUUCACACUUCAAAUCUUUGACGAAUACUCAAAUUCACAAAUUCGAUUUUUACUCCUCAACCACGAUAUUUCAAUCCAGUAUAUAUAUGUAUAUCUAAUCUUCUUCAUCGCAAAUACCCAACAAAAUCCAACAGGAAAAAGUCUUUUAUAAUUCAUCAUGUUUCCUUCCCACUGCCGAAUCUCCAUCGGUAAUUCUCAAAAACUUGUAUAGUUUAUUUUCAUAUGCAAAGAUUUCUGCUUUCUUUCAAUUUACAGAAAACAACCAAACUUCCACAAAAUUCUUGUUUUUUUAUAAAUUUAAACAUGCAUAUACAGAUAUUAAAUUGAUCGAAAUCAUAUUCACUGUUUUACAAAAAGAAAAGAAAAUAGAA